UUGAUUUCUUGGAGCAAGCCUGAGCAUCUCCAGUGGCCUUGGAUGUUCCUUAGGGCCCACAGCAUUGAGUCAAAGGGAGGGCUCCCCAGGAGGUCCACUCAAUAGCCCCAGUUUGAACUCAGACCAUCUAUACUUCAUCUAUGCUUCUUGACCUUGUCUGGCCCUUCUGUUCUGGAUGCCAAGAGCUACACAUCUUGUCUCACAUACCCUCCUGCUCCAGGCUGGCCUGGCCUCGGGAAUGGAAUCCAGGAAAGGAGGCAGACAAACAGAGCCCAGGCUCCUUAAAAAUAUAUAAACAUGAUAACAUGGAAAUGCGGCUCACUCCAAACUGCACGUGUCUGUGGGGACAUCACGAUGACUCAGUGUCCAGGCUCCCUGGCUGUGUCUCCAGCUCAAUAUAGAGGUGUAGAAGUGGCUGAAGAGGGCAACAGGAGCUCCCCAAGAAGGCUGCAGAAGAAGCACAAAAGCCCAGGGAGCUUUUAGAAGAGACACAGGCUACCAUGCAGGUUGAGUGGACUCCAGAGGCCUGAGUGUGCACAGUGACAAGGAUGGAAGUGUUGUAUUGUAUUCUCAGAACCCACUGUGAAAUUCCAAGAACUGCUUUUAUUUUGUCUCAGAAAAAGGUAAUUGAGGCAAGUAUAAAACUUCUAGAUUUAAGUUCUUCUGUGUGUGUCUGUGUGUACCUGUGUGUGUUUGUUGUUUUAUUGAAGUAUAGUUGGAAUGCUGGGCUACGUUGGUUUCAGGUGUACAGCAUAGUGAUUUGACAUGUCUAUGUGCUCUGUUACGUAACUACAAGUGUAAUUACCAUCUGUCCCCACACAACACUAUUAUGAAAUCCUUGAUUAUAUUCCCUGCGCUGUACCCUUCAUCCCUGUGCCUUGUUUUUGUUCAUUUUAUCUACCUCCCACUCUCCUUCAUGAAUUAUUCCCAUCCUCCCAUCCUCUUUCUGUCUGGCCACCACCAGUGUGUUCUCUGUAUUCUUGGGUCUUUUUCCAUUUCUG
Long non-coding RNA from Canis lupus familiaris (dog), 1001 nucleotides. RefSeq lists it as uncharacterized. Lineage: Eukaryota; Metazoa; Chordata; Mammalia; Carnivora; Canidae. The transcript has 6 exons. The record is from RefSeq and is a predicted model, not a curated record.